AUGAAAUCAAGGCCGAAGUCUCAAAAUCCACCGUCUGACCUGGUUGUGCCCAUAUUUCUUUUUGUUACCAAGGAUUUCUACUUGAUACAUCAGGGUCUCCUCAGAAUGGAUCACAAAGACGAGAUCCUCCAAGCAUGUACGAAGAAAGUUACCCCGUAUCUACUUGAGGUAGAUAACCAUUCUGGAGUAGGAAGGAAAGUUACCCCGUAUCUACUUGAGGUAGAUAACCAUUCUGGAGUAGGAAGGAAAGUUACCCCGUAUCUACUUGAGGUAGAUAAUCAUUAUUAA
This is a non-coding RNA of Vicia faba (fava bean), 288 nucleotides long. The record is from the annotation of a GenBank genome assembly. NCBI's taxonomy places the organism in Eukaryota, Viridiplantae, Streptophyta, Magnoliopsida, Fabales, Fabaceae.